UGCUCCACAUAGAAAGCUACAACAGUGAAACGUGUACAGGUAGGGGAGUUAGAGUACGCUGACAAGCAAGAAGAAUAUUUGAUGAAUAUUUCUGACGACACGACUGCACUCCAGGAUGAAAUUGACGUUUUAAUAGAAGAAUGCAACAGGAAUUUGCUUGCGCUUCCUGAGAAGGCGGUUGUGUGUGUGUUGUGCGUUCUGUGUUCCAUGCCAUGUCGUCCAUUGAUAGGAACCAACUCGAUCGCAUCAGCGCUCUCUUGGAUUACCACAAGACAAGCCUUCUCCUCCCAAAACGAAGUCACUCAGGCACACAGCGUAGGACGAGAGGAAUGGAAGGCGUCGCCCCGGCUCUACUGAA
Long non-coding RNA from Ornithodoros turicata, 358 nucleotides. RefSeq lists it as uncharacterized. NCBI's taxonomy places the organism in Eukaryota, Metazoa, Arthropoda, Arachnida, Ixodida, Argasidae. The record is from RefSeq and is a predicted model, not a curated record. The transcript is spliced from 3 exons.